AUAAAACAUACCAUUUUUUUAUUUGUUAUUUUCAGUUGUUUGAUAUGAAUAUUUCGGUGCUUUUACGUCAUUUCAGCGUUUGGAUUAACGAAAUCGAGUAUGUUGGUUAUAAGAGUGAUGGAAUUCUGGUUAGUGAACAUGUUACUUACGAAAAACCGAUUUCUAUAAUUGCGGGAGAACUUGAAAUCGACGAAACAAGGAAAAAAAUAGACAAGAGUACUCUCAUUUCGGUUAUGGCGCGAUUUGCAAUUGAACAUUCUUUUAAUUACUAUGCUAAAAGAUCGGUCAAGAAAAGUUAUAUCUUAUGAUGUCGGAUUAUGUUUGGACAUUUAAAGUAUCAUCUCAGUAAGUUGUGUUACCACCUAAAUACAAACGUCAACAUGGAAGGCCAAAGAAAAACAUGCACAAGAAAUCAAGUGAAACAAUGACAUCGAGCAGUAAUUGUUGCGGGAGAUGUGGUUAUGAAGGUUACAACGGGCUCACUUGCAAAUUCUUUUCAAAGAAGGAGUGACAAAUGUAGUUUACUAAUGAAUAAUGUUGAAUAGUUCCUUGGAAUGUUGCUGGAUUUUUUAUCUAUUUUGUUCGACAUUUUAGUUGAUGAGAUUUUUAUUUUUUUUAUGAAAUUUAAAAAAAGACAUUUACCGAAAUAAAUAGCAUUCUUUGUUAAUUUGUUAUUUAGUUAUAUAUGUUUUGAUGGUG
Capsicum annuum is the source of this 699-nucleotide long non-coding RNA. RefSeq lists it as uncharacterized. The transcript is spliced from 2 exons. The record is from RefSeq and is a predicted model, not a curated record. NCBI's taxonomy places the organism in Eukaryota, Viridiplantae, Streptophyta, Magnoliopsida, Solanales, Solanaceae.